CCUACGGGAGGCAGCAGUGAGGAAUAUUGGUCAAUGGCCGCAAGGCUGAACCAGCCAAGUCGCGUGAGGGAUGACGGUCCUAUGGAUUGUAAACCUCUUUUGUCAGGGAGCAAAGGACGCCACGUGUGGCGCUUUGCGAGUACCUGAAGAAAAAGCAUCGGCUAACUCCGUGCCAGCAGCCGCGGUAAUACGGAGGAUGCGAGCGUUAUCCGGAUUUAUUGGGUUUAAAGGGUGCGCAGGCGGAAUGUAAAGUCAGCGGUAAAAUUUCGGGGCUCAACCCCGUCGUGCCGUUGAAACUGGCGUUCUUGAGUGAGCGUGAAGUAUGCGGAAUGCGUGGUGUAGCGGUGAAAUGCAUAGAUAUCACGCAGAACUCCGAUUGCGAAGGCAGCAUACCGGCGCUCAACUGACGCUCAUGCACGAAAGCGUGGGUAUCGAACAGGAUUAGAUACCCUGGUAGUC
This 459-nucleotide ribosomal RNA is filed under the name uncultured bacterium. RNAcentral's name for it is "partial 16S ribosomal RNA". It matches the Rfam family "Bacterial small subunit ribosomal RNA", at positions 338 to 795 of the family's 1533-position model. The record is from RNAcentral.